This 565-nucleotide ribosomal RNA is filed under the name uncultured bacterium. RNAcentral's name for it is "bacterial SSU rRNA". It matches the Rfam family "Bacterial small subunit ribosomal RNA", at positions 358 to 916 of the family's 1533-position model. The record is from RNAcentral.
GGAAUUUUGGACAAUGGGCGCAAGCCUGAUCCAGCAAUGCCGCGUGCAGGAUGAAGGCCUUCGGGUUGUAAACUGCUUUUGUACGGAGCGAAACGGUCUGCUUUAAUACAGUGGGCUAAUGACGGUACCGUAAGAAUAAGCACCGGCUAACUACGUGCCAGCAGCCGCGGUAAUACGUAGGGUGCGAGCGUUAAUCGGAAUUACUGGGCGUAAAGCGUGCGCAGGCGGUUAUAUAAGACAGAUGUGAAAUCCCCGGGCUCAACCUGGGACCUGCAUUUGUGACUGUAUAGCUAGAGUACGGUAGAGGGGGAUGGAAUUCCGCGUGUAGCAGUGAAAUGCGUAGAUAUGCGGAGGAACACCGAUGGCGAAGGCAAUCCCCUGGACCUGUACUGACGCUCAUGCACGAAAGCGUGGGGAGCAAACAGGAUUAGAUACCCUGGUAGUCCACGCCCUAAACGAUGUCAACUGGUUGUUGGGUCUUCACUGACUCAGUAACGAAGCUAACGCGUGAAGUUGACCGCCUGGGGAGUACGGCCGCAAGGUUGAAACUCAAAUGAAUUGACGG